This 492-nucleotide ribosomal RNA is filed under the name uncultured bacterium. RNAcentral's name for it is "partial 16S ribosomal RNA". It matches the Rfam family "Bacterial small subunit ribosomal RNA", at positions 29 to 507 of the family's 1533-position model. The record is from RNAcentral.
AGUGAACGCUGGCGGUAGGCCUAACACAUGCAAGUCGAACGGCAGCACAGUAAGAGCUUGCUCUUACGGGUGGCGAGUGGCGGACGGGUGAGGAAUACAUCGGAAUCUACUUUUUCGUGGGGGAUAACGUAGGGAAACUUACGCUACUACCGCAUACGACCUACGGGUGAAAGCAGGGGAUCUUCGGACCUUGCGCGAUUGAAUGAGCCGAUGUCGGAUUAGCUAGUUGGCGGGGUAAAGGCCCACCAAGGCGACGAUCCGUAGCUGGUCUGAGAGGAUGAUAAGCCACACUGGAACUGAGACACGGUCCAGACUCCUACGGGAGGCAGCAGUGGGGAAUAUUGGACAAUGGGCGCAAGCCUGAUCCAGCAAUACCGCGUGGGUGAAGAAGGCCUUCGGGUUGUAAAGCCCUUUUGUUGGGAAAGAAAAGCAGCAGGUUAAUACACCGAUGUUCUGACGGUACCCAAAGAAUAAGCACCGGCUAACUUCGUG